UGAAACUGAUCUCCCCGUGAAGAAGCGGGGAUAAGUAUAUUAGACGAGAAGACCCCAUGGAGCUUUAAACCCGACAGCACCCACUUAUUUAACACCUUCUUAUCCGCCUGGCCCCUGUCUGCUCGGUUUUGGGUUGGGGUGACCGCGGAGCAUAAAAUAGCCUCCACGAAAGAAGGGAUGAUUCCCUCAUUUUAGAACUACACUUCCAAAGACUAA
This 216-nucleotide ribosomal RNA is filed under the name Boophis reticulatus. RNAcentral describes it as "partial 16S ribosomal RNA". Lineage: Eukaryota; Metazoa; Chordata; Amphibia; Anura; Mantellidae. The record is from RNAcentral.